Long non-coding RNA from Tripterygium wilfordii, 988 nucleotides. RefSeq lists it as uncharacterized. The transcript is spliced from 2 exons. The record is from RefSeq and is a predicted model, not a curated record. NCBI's taxonomy places the organism in Eukaryota, Viridiplantae, Streptophyta, Magnoliopsida, Celastrales, Celastraceae.
UCCAAAAUGUUAAAUAGGGUGUUUGCUUUGACAGGUACUUAGAUUUCUUUUUGGGUUCAAAAAGCUUUUUGCUCAUACAGCCUUAACUGUAUUUAUAGGUAGAUUAUUAUAUGCGGUUUUGUUGGAUUAAAGAAGAAACUGAACAUUACUAUAAAAUUGGAUUUGCUCUUACUUGGAAAUGAUCAUUUUAUCCAAGGACGCUCAUGAAUUAUUUAAAAGUUAGCAAAAGCCUUUCUUGUACUGCAAUCAUUCAGACUCUGGGAAGAAACAGUAAUGAAGUUAAAAUGAGCAUAAUCACAAUAUAUUGUUUUGAAUGGAAAUUAUAAUUUUAUUUGAAAGGCAUUAAGAAAGUACGGACAGGUAUGCUAAUGUUGUAAGAAGUGCUCUCCAGUCUCCACCGACCAGCAAAACAGAAUAAGAGACAGACUAUAAAACCAUAUGCUUUCAACAUGGCUUAUUAUUGGGAUUAAAGUGAAAACAUAAACCAACUUCAUCUUUUUAAGCUAGAUAGGGAUUUUCAAGAUCAUCAGUGAACUGGAUUUUUUUUUCUCACUUGCGAAACCACAAUGAAACACUUUCACAACUUGUGAUUAUAUGAAAAGUGACAUUUUUCAGUAUAGGACAGGUGGGCUCCCUAUGUCAAAUAGCUUUGAGGGGGACUAGAAUCAAUGAGUUUGAGGCGGGUGGUAGGCUACCCUCAUUCAAAUUUGUGAAAAAGGGGACCUAAAUAUACUGUGGCUGAGCGGCUAUUGAUCCUGGCUUUUAUUUCCACUUUCCAUUAACUCUCUCAUCAGGGCUAAGGUGAUAAUCUCAGCUGCUCGGCUUUACAUUUGGUAAUUCAGAGGGAGCACAUGAUCAAGUCUUUUCAUGUCCUUAGUCAUAGGCCUAUUAGUGGAAGUCGCUGAAUAUCCCCAAUUUUGAGGCUGGAUUUAGAGCUCGUUCCAGCCAUGAAAUAUGCCGAGGAACACAGCUUUUGGUGCAAUGCAGG